RNAcentral lists this transfer RNA (90 nucleotides) under bacterium. Its description in RNAcentral is "tRNA-Ser". It matches the Rfam family "tRNA". From Rfam's summary of the family: Transfer RNA (tRNA) molecules are approximately 80 nucleotides in length. The record is from RNAcentral.
GGAGAGGUGUCAGAGCGGUUGAAUGAACAGGUUUCGAAAACCUGCAUGGCCGCAAGGUCAUCGAGGGUUCGAAUCCCUCCCUCUCCGCCA